UGAGGAAUAUUGGACAAUGGGUUAGCGCCUGAUCCAGCCAUCCCGCGUGAAGGACGACGGCCCUAUGGGUUGUAAACUUCUUUUGUAUAGGGAUAAACCUACUCUCGUGAGAGUAGCUGAGGGUACUAUACGAAUAAGCACCGGCUAACUCCGUGCCAGCAGCCGCGGUAAUACGGAGGGUGCAAGCGUUAUCCGGAUUUAUUGGGUUUAAAGGGUCCGUAGGCGGAUCUGUAAGUCAGUGGUGAAAUCUCACAGCUUAACUGUGAAACUGCCAUUGAUACUGCAGGUCUUGAGUAAAUUUGAAGUGGCUGGAAUAAGUAGUGUAGCGGUGAAAUGCAUAGAUAUUACUUAGAACACCAAUUGCGAAGGCAGGUCACUAAGAUUUAACUGACGCUGAUGGACGAAAGCGUGGGGAGCGAACAGG
Molecule: ribosomal RNA, 424 nt
Filed under: Caulobacter vibrioides
Lineage: Bacteria; Pseudomonadati; Pseudomonadota; Alphaproteobacteria; Caulobacterales; Caulobacteraceae
Also listed under: 1 other name
Description: partial 16S ribosomal RNA
Rfam family: Bacterial small subunit ribosomal RNA
Source: RNAcentral